UACAGAGGGGGCAAGCGUUAUUCGGAAUUAUUGGGCGUAAAGGGCGCGUAGGCGGCCUGGCAAGUGGAAGGUGAAAUCCCUCGGCUUAACCGAGGAACUGCCCUCCAAACUGCUUGGCUUGAGUCCGGGAGAGGUGAGUGGAAUUCCCAGUGUAGCGGUGAAAUGCGUAGAUAUUGGGAGGAACACCAGUGGCGAAGGCGGCUCACUGGACCGGAACUGACGCUGAGACACGAAAGCGUGGGUAGCAAACAGG
This 253-nucleotide ribosomal RNA is filed under the name uncultured bacterium. RNAcentral describes it as "partial 16S ribosomal RNA". It matches the Rfam family "Bacterial small subunit ribosomal RNA", at positions 524 to 776 of the family's 1533-position model. The record is from RNAcentral.